This is a non-coding RNA of Helianthus annuus (common sunflower), 84 nucleotides long. Lineage: Eukaryota; Viridiplantae; Streptophyta; Magnoliopsida; Asterales; Asteraceae. The record is from Rfam.
AUUGACUGUGAUGAGCCCAAUACAGACCUGUAAUGAUUUGCGAAAAUGAUCGCAUUUUAUGAACAUCUAAGGGACUGAGUCAUA